GCACGGGAAGCCCCCUUCGGGGGGUGGAGAGUGGCGCACGGGUGAGUAACGCGUGGGAACCUAUCCCGGGGUGGGGGAUAACCACUGGAAACGGUGGCUAAUACCGCACGAUCCCUAAGGGGCAAAGCAGCGAUGCGCCCUGGGAGGGGCCCGCGUCCGAUUAGCUAGUUGGCGGGGUAAGAGCCCACCAAGGCGGUGAUCGGUAGCUGGUCUGAGAGGAUGAUCAGCCACACUGGGACUGAGACACGGCCCAGACUCCUACGGGAGGCAGCAGUAGGGAAUAUUGGACAAUGGGCGCAAGCCUGAUCCAGCCAUGCCGCGUGAGUGAUGAAGGCCUUAGGGUUGUAAAGCUCUUUCGCACGCGAGGAUGAUGACGGUAGCGUGAGAAGAAGCCCCGGCUAACUUCGUG
Molecule: ribosomal RNA, 409 nt
Filed under: uncultured bacterium
Lineage: Bacteria
Description: bacterial SSU rRNA
Rfam family: Bacterial small subunit ribosomal RNA
Source: RNAcentral